GGAUUGCCCUAGUAACGGCGAGUGAAGCGGCAACAGCUCAAAUUUGAAAUCUGGCCUUCUUGGUCCGAGUUGUAAUUUGUAGAGGAUGCUUUUGGCGCGGUGCCUUCCGAGUUCCCUGGAACGGGACGCCUUAGAGGGUGAGAGCCCCGUACGGUUGGACACCAAGCCUCUGUAAAGCUCCUUCGACGAGUCGAGUAGUUUGGGAAUGCUGCUCUAAAUGGGAGGUAAAUUUCUUCUAAAGCUAAAUACCGGCCAGAGACCGAUAGCGCACAAGUAGAGUGAUCGAAAGAUGAAAAGCACUUUGAAAAGAGGGUUAAAUAGCACGUGAAAUUGUUGAAAGGGAAGCGUUUACGACCAGACCUUUUCCUGGCGGAUCAUCCGGUGUUCUCACCGGUGCACUUCGCCUGGUUUAGGCCAGCAUCGGUUUCUGUAGGGGGAUAAAAGCUUGGGGAAAGUAGCUCUCUUCGGAGAGUGUUAUAGCCCUUUGCAUAAUACUUCUACAGGGACCGAGGACCGCGCUUUGCAAGGAUGCUGGCAUAAUGGUCGUCAACGACCCGUCUUGAAACACGGACCAAGGAGUCGAACAUUUGUGCGAGUGUUUGGGUGUUAAACCCUCACGCGUAAUGAAAGUGAACGGAGGUGAGAGCCCUUACGGGUGCAUCAUCGACCGAUCCUGAUGUCUUCGGAUGGAUUUGAGUAAGAGCAUAACUGUUCGGACCCGAAAGAUGGUGAACUAUGCGUGGAUAGGGUGAAGCCAGAGGAAACUCUGGUGGAGGCUCGCAGCGGUUCUGACGUGCAAAUCGAUCGUCAAAUCUGCGCAUGGGGGCGAAAGACUAAUCGAACCAUUGAAACCAGCGGUAAAUUUGAUUUACUAGGUGGUUAAGAGGCCUUCGUGACGAAGGCCUAGGCCGACCUACCCGGUAAAGUCUUACCCUGUAAGACCUACCCUGUAGGAAGGCCGACACCGCUAAAUUGCGGGGACAUCCAGUAAAGGCUUCAGGCUACCGCCCUGCGCUGAAAAGCGUAUGGGCACCAAGAAUAGCGAUCUUGGGUAUGGUAAUAACGCCUGAAGUAUCGGACGACCUGCAGCCAACCCCGUAUUUCAGGGGAGAGUUCACUGACUAGACAGCGGUGGGUUGCUUCGCAUCACCUGCGAGGCGGCCUAAGACAUAGUCGAUCCGGGCCCUGAAAAGGAGCCCUAAACUCUGAGGGAACCUACCCGGUAAGAACUUACCCGGUAGUAGGUUACCCUGUAGAGGAAAGCGGAGCUAGUAGCUGGUUACCGCCGAAGUUUCCCUCAGGAUAGCAGUGUUGUCUUCAGUUUUAUGAGGUAAAGCGAAUGAUUAGGGACUCGGGGGCGCUUUUUAGCCUUCAUCCAUUCUCAAACUUUAAAUAUGUAAGAAGCCCUUGUUACUUAAUUGAACGUGGGCAUUCGAAUGUACCAACACUAGUGGGCCAUUUUUGGUAAGCAGAACUGGCGAUGCGGGAUGAACCGAACGCGGGGUUAAGGUGCCAGAGUGGACGCUCAUCAGACACCACAAAAGGUGUUAGUACAUCCAGACAGCAGGACGGUGGCCAUGGAAGUCGGAAUCCGCUAAGGACUGUGUAACAACUCACCUGCCGAAUGUACUAGCCCUGAAAAUGGAUGGCGCUCAAGCGUCUCACCCAUACCUCGCCCUUAGGGUAGAAACGAUGCCCUAAGGAGUAGGCGGCCGUGGGGGUCAGUGACGAAGCCUAG
RNAcentral lists this ribosomal RNA (1738 nucleotides) under Fasciatispora cocoes. RNAcentral's name for it is "partial large subunit ribosomal RNA". It matches the Rfam family "Eukaryotic large subunit ribosomal RNA", at positions 72 to 1413 of the family's 3401-position model. The record is from RNAcentral. Lineage: Eukaryota; Fungi; Ascomycota; Sordariomycetes; Xylariales; Fasciatisporaceae.